ACAGGUAUCAGGGCACCCAGAGCCACCACUGUGUCCAGAACGGCAUUUCCACUUCACUGGCCAGGUCUAAAGUCCUGAGGGGCCUUUGCUCCAGGGACCCAGGGUACCUCCCUCAGCAGGGCAGGAACUAGGCCAGGAAUACCAUGGGGCACUGAAGGAGGAGCCUCCCUCUAUCCCUGUAACCCUCCAUCCCUGUACCUCUCCAUCCCUCCAUCCCUGCACCCCUCCGUCCCUGUGCCCCUCUAUCUCUCCAUCCCUGCACCCCUCCAUCCCUGUACCCCAUCCCUGUACCCCUCCGUCCCCCAUCCCUGCACCCCUCCAUCCCUGUACCCCUCCAUCCUUCCAUCCCUGCACCCUCCAUCCCUGUACCCCUCCAUCCCUCCAUCCCUGUACCCCUCCAUCCUUCCAUCCCUGCACCCUCCAUCCCUGUACCCUUCCAUCCCUCCAUCCCUGCAUCCCUCUGUCCCUGCACCCCUCCAUCCCUCCAUCCCUGCACCCCUCCUUCGUUGUACCCCUCCAUCCUCCAUCUCUGCAUCCCUGCACCCCUCCAUCCUCCAUCCCUGUACCCUUACAUUCUCCAUCCCUGCAUUCCUCCAUCGCAGCAUCCCUGCAUGCCUCCGUUCUCUGCAUCCCUCCACCCCAGUAUCCCUGCACCUCUUCAUCCCUCCAUUCCUGCAUCCCUCUAUUUUUCCAUCCCUCCAUUCCUGUAUCCCUGUGCCCUCCAUCCUCCAUCCCAGCAUCCCUCCAUCCCUGCUCCCCACUCUCACUUCCCUUCCCUUCACAGACAGGCUUUUCCUGCCAUCCUCAGACCCCACCCAGGGUUACCUGAUGCCUUUCCAGCUGCACACGGGGACUGACUCACCUCUCUCUUUCUCAGUCCCAAAGUCCCGAAAGAGAGCAUCUGAUGUGGUCAGCUUGUGACAAGGCGUCCACCUUCUGUCCAUGACAUGGAGGCCAGGGGAAGGUCUCACUGCCCAGCACCCCACCCUGUGCUCCCAGGCCUUUUGAAUGUUCCUCCUGCUCAGCCCAGUGACUGCGGGCUGUGGCUCCUCCUCCAGCCUCCCCUCGAGGUCCUGGUCUUACUUAGGAGGCCCCGGGUGUAGAUGCCUUCCCACCCACCAGGCAUUGCCCCUUUUCCUGGCUUCACAGACUCGGGAAUAAAGUUUCCUUCUGUUUCCCCUCUUGCAGAAGGAGAUCCGGUUGGCAGCUAAACCGCGCUGGGAACAGGGGCCUGAGUCCUGGACUAGGGCUCUUUCCCCGGGGCUGCUGCAGAUGGGGAGGAGCCUACACCCGCCUCCCGAGUGCUAAUCAGACCUGACAGGCUGGAGAAUGGCCAGUCAGCCUGAGGCCACCGCGGGACACCACCUAGGCCCAGCUUCUCCCCCCACCAGAGGGCGCCAGAGCCCGCCAAGCCUCGUAGGAGAUGGCAACAGGGCCUGCUGCUGCCACCUAGCGGCCAAUUCCGGGAAUGAAUCUCGGCACGCUCAUUACCCAGCGACUCUGCCCAUCUUGACCCUUUAUGUGAAGCAGAACAGCCGCUUCCGCAGUGAGCUGUCAGAAGGCGUCGUGCCUGUCUUGCUAGUGGGGAAACUGAGGCUCAGAGAGGCAGAAGACUUGCCCAAGAUCACACCACCGGGACCCAGGAUUCAAGCGCAGGCCUGCCCAGGCUCUCUGUGGCCUCCUGGCUGCGAGGAGGCAGCCAGGGACCAGGUGCCACCCUUCUGAGACACCUGAGAUCCCAGGCCCGAGAGGAUGAAGGCGGGAUUACCUGGAGCGUGUCUGAAUGCUGGAGGAAGAAGGGCAGCUGGGAGAUGAAGCUGUCAGGAUGGGCCGCAUCCCAUUUCCUGCCUCGUUUCAGUUCAACUUUCCAACAGACCUCCCUGGCUCGUCUUGCUCUUCUCUAAUGGACAAACAAACAGGCUCAGAGAGGUGGUGUGACUUGCCCAAGGUCACUCAGCUUGGAUGCUAUGGAACAGGGACGUCCACUGUCCCAGUCUGUUUAUGGGAAGCCGCUCUGCAACUGUCCUGACCCACCACAUGCCCCACCGCUGUUUCUCUUGCCCUGACCCCUUGUUCCCUGGACCAGGGUGGCACAGCUCCAGGCUCUUGGGCCCUUCCCGAGGGCAGGCACCUGUGACUGUGUCCCCAAAGACCUGAGUGGCUGAGGGGGCCCCACAGAGCUUGGACUUCCUGGAGGACAAGGAGGGGUCUGCCAGCCACCCCCACCACGCCCGCCCCAGGGCUCCCCUGGAGCUUCCAUGCCAGCCGGACUCAGGUGGGUCUGGAGGAGCACCGUGCCUCCAAUCAGACCUUGAGAUGUGCCCCCUGCCCCCACUGUGCCCUCCCCUGCCCAGGAGUCUGGUUGCAAACCCUGAUUAAGGGGAUUUUAUCUCCACCAGAGGGCCAGUAGGUGGGAAGUAGCUUAAACAAUGCAGGUUUAUAAUCUCACAGUUCUGGAGGUCAAGAGUCUGAAAUGGGCCUCAUGGGGCUAAAACCAAGGUGUCUGCAGGGCUGUGUUCCUUCUGGAGGCUCCAGGGCAGGAAGGGGAGGAUCCACUUCUGUGCCUUUCCAGCUUCUAGAGGCUGCCUGCGUUCCUUGGCUCGUGGCCCCUUCCUCCACCUUCAAGCCAGCAGCGGAGGCCUGAGUCCUUCUCAUGCCAUCUCUCUGUUCUCUCUCCUGCCUCCUCCUCCACACUGAAGGACCCCUGUGAUCACACUGGCCCCCCCACCGGAUGACCCAGGAUAAUCCAUCUCCCUGUUUGAAGGUCGGCUGAUUAGCAACCUUCAUUCCAUCUGCCUCCUUCAUUCCCCCUGGCCAUGUAAUGGGAUUCACAGCUUCUGGGGAUUAGGACAUGGACAUCUUGUGGCGGGGGCAUAAUUCUGUCGACGACACCAAGAAACACUUGGAUGUUAAGGAUUCACCGAACACUGUUCAGGCUCCAGGUGCUGGGAGCAGCAGUGAACAAAGCCAACAGACACUGCCACCCUCAAGGAGUUCACGUUCAUGGGCGAGGGAACAGAUGAGAAACCCGGCAAUGAAAAUUUCCUCAUCAGGUCAUUCUGGUGGAAUGGAAGUGCAACCGUGAGGUCGCCAGUUGGCCGGCAUUGUUAAGCAAGGGCAGCAGAAGGCUGGGAGGGACGGAGCCAGUCCCCCACCCUCUCCUCCAGCCCCCGCCCACCACAAAUUCACAGUGAGAGGCACCUCACUGCCUUGACAUUCAGAAAAGAGUGAAAUAAAGAAACCCUCGCAGCGCAGGAAAUAACUGGAUUCCACCUUCAAGGUUAUUGAGGUUCCUCCCUCUCUCUCCACGCCCCCAGUCAAACCCUGAAAUCCUAAGGCUGGGGGCAAGCCCUUCCCCAACCUGCCAAAGGAAAGGAGCCAGGGCUGCUGCCUUCUGGCCGCUUUUCUGCCUCCAGUCCCAAAAGGAAUUUCUCUGGACAGAUGUGACUGCAGCGGCCCAAGGCCCCCCUUCUCCUCCUCCUCCCAUCCCACUGGGCGGGCUUGGGAAGGUACAAUCAACCAUGAACAUAAAUAUGAAUAAAAAAUGAACUUGAAAAUGACAAGCUAUUAAUUAAACAAAUCUAUAAAAAUAGUUAGGACAUAACUCUGUUCAAAUAAAUACAAAAUAAAUAGGUUCCAAGCAGUGACACAAGUGGAAUGUGGGGCUGGUCCCGCUGCGCCCCUGCUGGGGUUGGACAGGAACCCCCAGGGCGUCAGAACAGACUCUGAGCAGUCAGCCAAGCUCCUGCUCCCUCGUCUUCCUCUGGAAGCACAGAAGUCGCUCAUUUGUCCGGCUUGUCCUUCUGGACAAAACCCUUUUCCCAACAGUCCAUAAUUAAGGCCUCCAACACCUUUUCCUUCCCUCCCCAGAACACACAAACGCUCUGCCCUUCGCCCUCAAACAUGGUGCUCCACUGCCCUCAUGCCACAGUGGGGACAGUGAGUUUGGUUCUGAGGUGGGGCCCAUCCUGACAGGGUCCAGGCCAGCUCAGAGCACCAUGAGCCCCAGCACUUGCCUUCUGUGCAGCCAGGCCAGGCAGCCCGAGCCCCCUGCACUCCCAAGCAUGCCCGAGAGCCCCAGCCAUCAGCAGGGCUCAGAUGCCAGUGACCACAAGGCCAGAUCCUUUCCUCUUCCUUCACAGCCAAGUUGGCGUCAAUGCUGUAGGUUGGGAAGUCAGGCCUGGGAGGCCACGUGACCUCACCUUUCAUCAUGGAUUAUGGGAUUGGACGAGGGGGUGGGAUGUGGGCUGUAGCCCUCCUCCCACCUUACCUCAGCAGACAGGCAGGCAGCAAGAGGGCACAGGGAGAUGCACGGCAGACCAGAGGGCAGGGGCCGUGGCCAACAGCUGGCUGCAAGGGUGAAAUGGAAGAACUAAGCCGGCCUCCAGGCUCCAAGCUCGCUAUUGGCAGGCACUGCAGAAAAUGUCCUGUCCUUACACAUGUGAGCCCGGAGCCUGCUGACCCUGGACCCUAAGGAAUGCCUGUGGUCUUCGCUGGAACCAACAGGAGGGUCUGCUGGGGUCAGCAGGACAAGCCCUGGGCCUGCCAGCUCUCCCCACCCUCCCUGCGGGUGCGUCUAGGGUUUUCACAGCUUGGCUCGAGACAGCUUAGUGUUGGCACAUUCACAGAAUGAGAUGGCUGCACACCCCAGGCUGCGGCCCAGGAUCAGCGAGUCCACUGCCGGGCGGCCCUCCCCCCGUCACCGCGACUGCACGCCCAGGGUGAUCUUCAGGUUCUCGUAGACCACGUAGCUGAUGCUCACAGCUGGGAUGACCUUCAUGAAGUUGGGGGCCAGCCCCCUGUACAGCCCGAAGGCCCCCUCGGUCCGCAGGAUAUGUUUGAAGAGGCUGCUCAUGGUCACCUCCGGAGCGCCCUCAAUAGAGGCUGCAGGAUGGAGGCCACCAGUCAGAUGCUUCUGUCCGCUCCCCCCGACCUCCCAGGGGACUGUCCAGGGCCAGCCUUACCUUGCGCCUGCAUCCGGGUCCUGACUAGGGCCAGGGGGUAGCUGGCCAGCUGGCCACAGGUACUGGACAUGGUGCCACAGGCCAGGAGCACAAACACGCCGGGGUCCGCGCUGUUCACUGCAUAGUGCUGCAGCCAGGCAUUCUUGAGCGUCUAGAAGGAGAAGGGAGCAUGGGAUAAGCCCUAGGAAGGGCUAGUGAGGCAGCAAGAGACGGGGCUGUUACUGGGUCCUCAGGCCACUGGAACCCGACUGCCGCGCCUGGGGCCUGGCUGGGCUCCUAGCCUGGCUGCCCUGUUUCUGCUGUCACUGGGAAUUCCGGGACAAGGUAGAGGGAACACCUCCUUCCCCACACAGAAGGGCUGACUUCUGGGGUCUGUCUAGAGUGUGCUGGGGCCUGUGAGCUCCUGGGGGCCACCCUGCUCUGGGGAUCUGCCUGCUGAGCCUCUGGGGAUGCAGAGCCUGGGUGCAGGGCUCACAGGAGCUGCUGGGGUCUGCCAGGGGCAGGCAGGGUGAAGGAAAGCUGCAGUAAACAGAAGAGCAGGAAGGAGGCGCAGUCUUUGAUGCAGUUUCCUGCACUAACCACGCGUCCGUCAAGGAGGGAGACAGCAGGUGGAGGUGUGCUGGGAGGAGGUUUCUAAAUCUGUCCAGCUUGGGCCUCACCUCGUAGACUGCAAGGUCGAUGCCGGCAUAGGGGAUGAUGCCCAGCAUGUUGGGGACAUAGCCUUUGUAGAAGGCGGCCACCCCCUCUCUGGCCAGGAUCCUCCUGGCGCAGUCCAGCAUUCCUGAGUACUGGCCUGUCUUCCGCAGCGCCAUCCGGGUCUUCAGGACCUGCACAACAGGAGCAGCGGGACGCGUGAGCACAGCCUGUGCCUCUCCCCAGUCCUGUGCCCACUGCCCGCCCCAGGACCCAGGCGGCCCCUCACCUCCAUUGGGUAGAUGCUGCUCUGGGCGAUGGCCCCUGCCAAGGACCCUGCCACAAGCCUCUCGUGAAUCCUCAGAGUCUCCUGGUCACUACCAACAAGGCGCUUGAUCUAGAACCAGGAACAAACAAACCACCUGAUAUACCCAGAGGUUGGGGCACCUGCUGCUGCCCCUCCCUUCCAGGAGUCCCCGGCACAUUUUAUGCUACCCAG
This 6096-nucleotide long non-coding RNA is filed under the name Homo sapiens (human). RNAcentral's name for it is "non-protein coding SLC25A25-AS1:3". Lineage: Eukaryota; Metazoa; Chordata; Mammalia; Primates; Hominidae. The record is from RNAcentral.